UGGCGGACGGGUGAGUAAUGUCUGGGAAACUGCCCGAUGGAGGGGGAUAACUACUGGAAACGGUAGCUAAUACCGCAUAACGUCGCAAGGCCAAAGAGGGGGACCUUGGGCCUCUUGCCAUCGGAUGUGCCCAGAUGGGAUUAGCUAGUAGGUGGGGUAACGGCUCACCUAGGCGACGAUCCCUAGCUGGUCUGAGAGGAUGACCAGCCACACUGGAACUGAGACACGGUCCAG
RNAcentral lists this ribosomal RNA (234 nucleotides) under uncultured bacterium. RNAcentral's name for it is "partial 16S ribosomal RNA". It matches the Rfam family "Bacterial small subunit ribosomal RNA", at positions 96 to 334 of the family's 1533-position model. The record is from RNAcentral.